Long non-coding RNA from Amblyraja radiata (thorny skate), 1244 nucleotides. RefSeq lists it as uncharacterized. NCBI's taxonomy places the organism in Eukaryota, Metazoa, Chordata, Chondrichthyes, Rajiformes, Rajidae. The transcript has 5 exons. The record is from RefSeq and is a predicted model, not a curated record.
GGGAAGGGGACCCCUUGCGGGGCAACCGAAACAUCCGCUUUCUCGGGAGUCGGGCGCUUCCGCUCCAUCUUGGCUCAGGGUGGGAAAUAAAAGCUGAAACAAGGAAGAUCAUGUGGCUCAAAACUGGGAGCAAUCAACAGAAUCUGAGAUGAUCUAUUGAGAAGACAGAGAAGCAGGGACGAGGAGACGGCUUGCAAACUUUAAUACUGUAAGGAAAGCAUUUGUUGUGAUGUGUUAAUACUAGACUGGCUCGAACAAAAGGAGGACUGAAGCUAAUUCAGAGUAUGAAUGCCUACAAGCAGAAUUCUGUCGUUAUCAAUCUGCUCCUUUCGACAAAAUCCUCAGACUUUAUUCCCACAAUGGAACGAAAAUGGAGCCAAAGGCAAUCUGACACAGGUGGCCCUUUGUUCCACAAAAUAGAUAAAUGCGCUUCAGGCCAGAGAGUUUUAACUCCUGCAAUGUUGCCAGUGUCAGAUAAAUGUAUGCCUGCUGAGUCUUUUUUUCUUUCAAAUCAGCAUGCAACAAUGCAUACAGCAAAGCAGGGAGAAGUCACAACACAGAGAGGAGGAAGGAAGCGGCCAAAGCUGGAUUCUAAAAAAGGCCUGAAAAAAUCCUCUGAUCCAUCUCUGUCCCAAGUGCAGUCUGCUGCACUAGUUCAAGUAUUUUUUCUUCCAUUGUUUAAGUUCUUUUUUUACAGAAAACUAUGCAGACCCCAUCUAAAGCACCAUCUAAAUGCAUAUGGCCUCCUCGCCUACAGAGAAGUUACACACAACUUUCAUGACAUGCCAUUUUUUCACAAAUCCCAAAGACAACAAAUGUAAGGAAAUGCAAGGACUCUAAAUUCUCCUGACUGCAUUAACAAUGCAUUUUAUUUGCACAAGAGCAUAUUGGAAAACUGUAUUUCUACAGCAGAGAGCAGUUGGAUUUGUCCUGAAGAAGUCAUGAUUAUCCAAGCACUCUGUUGACUGGUUGGCAUGGAAAAUGAGAAGAUGCAUAUUUAGAAGACAAUAAGUGGAGACGAGAAGAAUGAGAACAGUUAUAAACAACCGCAAGUGAUGCUCUCCCUCCAGAGUGCAAGGAACCCUGCACGUAGAUAGCAUACUCUUAGUUUGGUAUCCAAUCUCUCUUACAUAUGCUCCUUUCACUUAAACUAGAGGGGAAAACUGUUCAUGGAUGGCCUGUAUCAAUAUGUCAUUUGAUGCACAACAUAUUUUUUGGAAAAAAGAGGCGCACUUUCAGAAUAG